CGACAUCCUAUAGGAUUUUAUCCGACAUAUCGGAUAUCGGAUAUCGGAAUCGGAUAUUUUAUCGGAUAUUUUCUCUUAACGAUAACGAUAUUGGAAUAGGCCUUUUCGUUAGGUUAAUAUCCGAUAUCCGAUAGUCUAGGGGUGUACUUGUAAUUUCCUACCCCUAGAUAUAUGUUGCCCGCUGCCGACAGGGAGAACCUAAUCGUAAUCUAAUCUUCUGAGUUCUAGAUAUUUUGGCAGUGGGAAUUUUUGGAGGAGAAAACGAGGACUCGAGGAGGGAUAAGGAGAUUUGAAGAAGUUGAACAGAGGUCGGUGUGGAUCUUGCUGUGCGAAAAUCCUCAAGGGCUGAAGACUGGUGCUUGUAACUCUGCAGCAGGAUCUGCAAACACGGAGUUUGGAAAUACCAAG
Long non-coding RNA from Papaver somniferum (opium poppy), 408 nucleotides. RefSeq lists it as uncharacterized. The record is from RefSeq and is a predicted model, not a curated record. NCBI's taxonomy places the organism in Eukaryota, Viridiplantae, Streptophyta, Magnoliopsida, Ranunculales, Papaveraceae. The transcript is spliced from 3 exons.